RNAcentral lists this long non-coding RNA (5938 nucleotides) under Brassica napus (rape). Its description in RNAcentral is "long non-coding RNA (BNAP_LNC006831)". Lineage: Eukaryota; Viridiplantae; Streptophyta; Magnoliopsida; Brassicales; Brassicaceae. The record is from RNAcentral.
UCUGAAAUCUGAUAUUUUAUAUAACAAAGGUUUUUUACAAACAAAAGCCCAAAAAGAAAAGGGAUCCUGACCUACCAACAAGACCCAACUACAACACUAGAAAACCAAACACAGGCCCAUAUCCACUAACAAACAGAUGACGCAAAACAACGUGUUCAACUCAAGAGAAAAGAGGGACACGUGCAAAGACAAUAUCACCGUCUUCUUCCACCUGCGAAUCGUCGCUGCAACUGAACCAAAAACCACCGGAAACCACCGGAAUCACACCGGAAACGCGAGCCACCAUCGAUUUCACCGACUUAAAAGUCGUUAUCGGAACAAACAGAUCACUUUAACUCCGGAAUCAACCGGGAACACGACCACAACCACCGAAAACCACAUCCAACGACUGUGUUGGAAGUUUUACGGAUUCAGCAUCUUUCCACACAUACGCCUAAGUUUUGGAUAGCAUCAAUCAAAUAAACUCAAGAUCUCAUCCAAACCCAGACCACCCAAUCACUAAAACGAAAAACGUCAUACAGCUCGAUCACUUCCGAGGAUUCGAUAGCCGGCAACCACCACCGAAGAAGAAACGGCACGGCCCCAGAAACAAAGCCAGUCAUCCACCAAACGAUCGGUGCGAUACUGGAACAGAAAAACCAAACAUACAGUACCGAAGAACCAACGAUACCGCAUGCCGGACCGGAAACUAAACAAGAUAAACAGAACUGAAAUAAAAAGGAAGAAACCCGACCGACGACGUGGCUAAAGGAGCCCACCAUCGUCGGCCGAGAACUAUUUGGCUAAAGGCGUGAAGAUUAAAAAAAUUAUUAUAUUUUUAAAAAGUAUUUUAUAUUAAAUAGGUUAGAUAUAAUUUAACCAAUAAAAAAUAAGUCUAUUUAAUUUGAUUGGUCACACUGUAUUCAAUAAAUGAAAAAAUUACAUAGAAAUAUGAAAACUAUUUACAUUUUGAAAUAAAAAUAUUUUUCUAAAAAUACUUACAAUAUGAAACGACAUAUGAAACGGAGGGAGUAAGAAGGAGAAAUGAUUACGUUGCCUUCUCGUAGCGUUGAUGGGACCACACUCAUCACGUUCCCACCAGUUUCACGGUCGUUUCUUAUCGAUUUCAGCUACACGUCUUGUCGACAGGGACAUUUAAGAUUAGUUAUGUACAGUAAACACUUCAACAACGAUGUGAGUUUAUCUGGAAAAUAUAUAAUCGAAUGUCAACUGCAAAGCACUCCCUUCAUAAUUGUAUCAAACAAAUAAUUAAAUGUCCAUUGACCUCAACUUCCUUCAUGUAUUUUUUUACACUAAAAAGUACAAAGACGGUGACGGUGCCACUAUGGUUAGUUAAUCAUGGGUUUAUUUUAUACUAUAAUGUAGCAGCCAUGAUUUUAAAUCAUUUUGGGAAUACUUAUGUCAAACCGUGGAAGCUCCGUCAAUGGUUGGAACCUGAGUGGCGACGAUGGUAGGAACCUGAGUGGCGACGAUGAGAUCGUCGAUGGUUGGAACCUGAGUGGCGACGAUGAGAUCAGUAUGCCUUCCAUUUUUUUUUCUUGUUGCUUUAGGAGACAGGGUGAUGGAUGGGUGCAUUAUUUAUAAAGAGAAUUAUUUUGAUAAUAAUAAUGGCUACGGUUUACUUUAGCUUUAAGGAAUAAAAAGGAGAAUAAUUAGGGCGUUGCCUUCUCGUAGCAUUGAUGGGACCACACUCAUCACGUUCCCACCAGUUUCACGUUCUUUCUUAUCGAUUUCAGCUACACGUCUUGUCGACAGGGACAUUUAAGAUUAGUUAUGUACAGUAAACACUUCAACAACGAAGAAAAGAUGGUUGUGAGUUAAUCUGGAAAAUAUAUAAUCGAAUGUCAACUGCAAAGCACUCCCUUCAUAAUUGUAUCAAACAAAUAAUUAAAUGUCCAUUGACCUCAACGUCGUUCAUGUAUUUUUUUACACUAAAAAGUACAAAGACGGUGCCACUAUGGUUAAUUAAUCAUGGGUUUAUUUCAUACUAUAAUGUAGCAGCCAUGAUUUUAAAUCAUUUUGGGAAUACUUAUUAAUACAUGUUAUUAAUUUAGUGAUUAAUAUGAUAAGUUAUUGUUUGUAUUCUCUAAAUUUUAAAUUGACAAUAUAUAAAGCGGGGUUCUAAUCAAAAUAUACAUAGAUGCUUGUUAUUGUUUAUAUUUCUUUUUUUGGAGCCACACAUGUAUUAUAAACAUUUUGGAAAAUCUGUUUAUACAAUAUAGUCAUUAUACUUUUUUGUUUGAUUAGUAUUUAAUUAUGCAUCAUUAUAUUUUUUUAGUUUCAACUUUUGUAAUUGAAAAUAUUAUUUUUGGAAAAGAACACUUAUCUUAUUCAUUUUUAGCCAAAAUUUCUAUUUUAUUAAUUUAUAUUCAAUUAUCUAAAUAAAUUUAAAUAUAAGUUUGUUGCUAAUUAUAGUACAUAUUAUAUAUAACUAUUCAUUAUAUAUAUUAGCAUAAUUAUCCCUAAUAGUAUUCACAUUAAUUAAUCAGUAUGUAUUCGUCACUAAAAUUACCUUUUAUAAAACCAAACAAAUAACAUGUAAAUGAAGUUGGACCCUAAUGUGAUGUGUGCUCGUAAUUGCACUUUUUCGUUUAUAGUAAGCUAUAGCCUAUACAAAGUAUUAUUGUUGUUUAGUUGAAUACUAAUUUUGAAAACUACGAAGAUAGUAAUUUAUAGUAUAACAAAUACACGAGUUUUACAGUAUAAAUUUUAUAUAACUAAAUUAUAACUCAUUUAGUUGUUAAAAUUAUAUUGUUUAAUUAUAUAAUUAAUAAUGAAUUGUAUAGAACUAUUCAUUAAGGUUAAUAUAGAUAUUAACCAAUUUAAAUUUUAAGAGUUCCGUUGCGAAAAUAGAUAUGCAAAAAUAGAUAUAGUGUAAUGAUAUUUGUAGUUGACAUAAAUAAGAAUCAUAUUUUAUUAUGGAUACUUCAUUUUUUUAAAAUCACAAUAGGAUACUUCAUUAAUAUAUGCAGUGUGGUUGGUUGGAUGAUGUAAAUCUACCUGUUAAAUUGAGUUUUUUUUUUUCUCUCAAUCCCUUGACUUGGCAUAAAAGUAUUAUUCAUUAAUAUAUACUUGACUUUUUCCACUGGGAAUAUGUUUUAUUUAGUUACAGUACUAAGCUCCUUUAUUUACUAUGGAGCAGAUAGCUAGAAAGAGUGAGAUGACAUGAAGGCGAUCUUGAUGUGGAUAAAGUGUUUCAUGCAUCUGUGAGUGUCUUCAUCUUGUUCUCAAAAGAGAGGCCUGAGCGGAGGAAAUCUUGGUGUGCAGUGAUCUUGGUGGUAACGUUAAUGAACCUCUGAUACCAUUUGCCAGAAUCUUUGAGGUUUCUAUCACUAACGUCUGUCCAGUUAACGUAACUGAGUCCGAAUCGGACGGUAAAACCUUUACCGAAUUCAUAAUUAUCUCCAAGAGCCCAUGCAAAGUAUCCUUUUAUGUUGACACGCUUCUCCCUGAAAACAAAAAUAACCAUUAAAAACCUAUGACGAUCUAAGAGCAUCUCCAAUGGUGUUACCCACCAUCGGAGUCCUUAGCAAUAUAAUAGUAUUUUUUUGUUUUGUUUUUUGUUUUGUUUGAAUAGUUAAGGAUUCUAAUGCUAAUUGUAUGUCCAAUGGUGUUAUCCAUUAUGGAAUCCUUAGUUUUUUUUUAAUUGAAUCUUAGAAAUUAAAAAUUAUAAAAUUUGCAAAACAUUUAAAUUUAAAAUUCAUUUAUUGAAAAAUUAAAUGUAAACAUACAAUUAUUAUUCAUCUUCAUCAUUACUAAACUUGUUCCAAAUAUUUUUGAUUAAAUCAUAUCUCAAUCAUUCAUGUAAAUACCUAUCACGAACAUGACUCCGUAUGCGAAGCAUAUUACCGAGAUUUAGAGGCAUCUUGGGAGAACCGGAUACAUCCACGGAAUGAUAACUGAUUCAAACUAAAACCAGGAGUUAAUACCCCCAAGAACAAAGAAAAAGUUGAUACCUUGUCGAAAAUGGGGUACUCAGCCUUGAAACGGGUACAAGCAAACUGAACAAUCUCUUCAUUAGAACCAGGUUCUUGAUUCCCGAACUGGUUACAAGGGAACGCAAGGAUCUCAAACCCUAAAAACCAUUAUAACACACAAUCAUUUAUACAAUAUGGUUCAGUGAAGAAACAAAGAAAACACAAAAAAAAGUAUACCAUGAUCUUUGUACUUGUGAUAGAGCUGCGCAAGCUCAGUAUAGUUCGAAUUGGUCAAGCCACUGCACCAAAGACAAAGGAUCCAAAGAAACUACUUAAUUACCAUUGAUCGAAAUCGACUCAGAUUUAAAAUUAUAAUAAAAAAAAUAAAAAUUGCAAAUGAAAUGAAAAUUGGGAAAACAUAUACCACUGAGAAGCAACGUUGACAAUCAACAGAACCUUCCCCUUGUAGAUGCUUAGAUCCACUUCGUUUCCCUUCGCGUCCUGAAAAAUCCCCAAAACAGUAAGUAUAUUUUUUUUUUAGCUCUCAAUCGUUCAAAAUUCACAUAGUUUCUCUCGAUUUAUGUUCAACGAAAUUCGAUACUCUGUUUUAAAAACUCUGAUUCUGAAAAACAACUUUCAAUCAAUCCGUCGGGAGAGAUUUCGAACCUUGACUGUGAAAUCAUGGACGGAUUUUGGGGAGGAGGAAGUAGCAGCCGCCAUCUCGAAAUUUUAGUUAAUGGAAGCGAAGGAAUUCGAUUCGUUGAUGAGAGCUGAAAAAGAAUCGAGUUUCAAUGAAAUCAGAGAUAUCGAUCGAUGAUUGAUUCUUACUUAUAUAGCUAGCACAUUCUUUUCUCGUAAAAUUAUAUAUUUAUUUUUAUUUGUUAUUCAGCAGCUUCUUUCUCCAUGUCAGUGGUUGGAGGAUCGGUGGUACACGUGGACGCUUGUAGAGCAGCCACGUAGGAGCCAAUGAGUAUGUGCUUACGUCAUAUCAGUUGUGCUGUCGCAAUGUGAACGCUAACGAGAUAUUUUUUUCUAACUUCAACGCAUUAGGGAAUAUUAUUGUACACAUUGUGCCGUCAAUACUAUAAUUUUCAAACAUGUCAGCAUAGUUAUCUAAAGAUAAAUUCUAAUUAAAAAUAUUAUUAUUUUAACUUUUUCAUUUGUUUUUAUUUUAUAAUAAUAGUUAAUUAUUUCUUAGAUACUUUUUUUUUUCUCUGAAAUCUGAUAUUUUAUAUAACAAAGGUUUUUUACAAACAAAAGCCCAAAAAGAAAAGGGAUCCUGACCUACCAACAAGACCCAACUACAACACUAGAAAACCAAACACAGGCCCAUAUCCACUAACAAACAGAUGACGCAAAACAACGUGUUCAACUCAAGAGAAAAGAGGGACACGUGCAAAGACAAUAUCACCGUCUUCUUCCACCUGCGAAUCGUCGCUGCAACUGAACCAAAAGCCACCGGAAACCACCGGAAUCACACCGGAAACGCGAGCCACCAUCGAUUUCACCAACUUAAAAGUCGUUAUCGGAACAAACAGAUCACUUUAACUCCGGAGUCAACCGGGAACACGACCACAACCACCGAAAACCACAUCCAACGACUGUGUUGGAAGUUUUACGGAUUCAGCAUCUUUCCACACAUACGCCUAAGCUUUGUAUAGCAUCAAUCAAAUAAACUCAAGAUCUCAUCCAAACCCAGACCACCCAAUCACUAAAACGAAAAACGUCAUACAGCUCGAUCACUUCCGAGGAUUCGAUAGCCGGCAACCACCACCGAAGAAGAAACGGCACGGCCCCAGAAACAAAGCCAGUCAUCCACCAAACGAUCGGUGCGAUACUGGAACAGAAAAACCAAACAUACAGUACCGAAGAACCAACGAUACCACAUGACGGACCGGAAACUAAACAAGAUAAACAGAACUGAAAUAAAAAGGAAGAAACCCGACCGACGACGUGGCUAAAGGAGCCCACCAUCGUCGGCCGAGAACUAUUUUUCUUAGAUAUUCAUGUUUAAAACAUUG